Long non-coding RNA from Girardinichthys multiradiatus, 1901 nucleotides. RefSeq lists it as uncharacterized. Lineage: Eukaryota; Metazoa; Chordata; Actinopteri; Cyprinodontiformes; Goodeidae. The transcript has 3 exons. The record is from RefSeq and is a predicted model, not a curated record.
GAUAAACAAUAGUUCACACAGUUUCCUGUUAUUUCAGGGUUUUUUAAAUAGUGCAUGUAGUCUGGCUGGAAAGCUCCCCAACAGCAACAAAAGCUUGGUCUACAAAUAUAUUGUUCAACUGUCAUGUUUUUGUAGAAAAUAAUUUUCUUCAAAUGUUUAGUAGAAGGUCUCUGACAAAGUUUUAGUGAAAACAGUCUUUGUCUAAAAUCUUUAAAUGUACCACUAGGUGCACCUCAAAGUUUUAACCUUAGAUCACUUUAAUUGUUUACUGAUCUGGGUGUAGUGAUGGACUCAGACCUGAACCUCCAGAACCACAUAAAGACAACCACUAAGUCAGCCUUUUCCAGUCAAACAUUUCCAGGAUUGAAGGACUAAUGUCCCACCAGGAUCUGGAGAAACUCAUUCAUGUGUUUAUCAUUAGUUGUCUCUGCCAGUGGGAUCUGAUCACUCCGUGACAGUGCCCUGGAUUCCAAGCUAUUGUUCUCUGUAACCAUGCUCCAGAGAGUUCUGGAAAAUACUCCCUGCCGCUCCAUUCGUGAGCCUCCCUUCCUUUCCUACCUCCAGCCCUGCAGCUCUGAGAUCACAAUGUGGAAACACCAAACCAUGCUCACCUGCCUGUCCACCCUCCAUCACGGCAUCCUCAGCUGAAGCACUGCCGCUUCAGGAUCACAAGGAGAGAACGUCAGCACUGUGAAUCUCCGUGCUGCUCCUUCUGCCAACCUCAGCCUCUGUGGGGUAGACUUACGUCCUCCAACAAGCCAUCAUCCACCACUAACAGAUGAAAGAUUCACAUCCAGUGUUUCAGGCAACUGACUACAGCUCCCAUGAUGCUCUUCUGCAGCUGCUCCACACAUCUGAGGCUUCAAUCUAUUUUUACUCCUCAUGAGGCUGUUUGAAUCAGUUGGCUCUGUUUGUUUGUCUGUUUUUGUCUUUGUGUGUGUAUGUGUGUGUGUGUGUGUGUGUGUGUGUGUGUGAGAGAGAGGCUGGAGGGAGGUGAGUGAGGGUGAAGAGCUGUUGCCAUGGCAACAACAUCCCCACUGAAAGAGCGGGCGGCAGCACAGCAGCAGGAGCGUCUGUCAGAGCAGAACAUCAUGUCUCAGACCGUCGUUACACAGUAGUCAUGCUGAAGGUUCAGGCUGAAGGUUCUUAGUGAAGCUUCAUGCUGAGCAUCCCUGCGUGUUCAUUCUGUUUGGUGGAUGGUGUUUUAGCUGCAGUUCUGUACAUUAUACUGUGAACCCAGCAGAACAUUAAACAGAACCAACAUUCAUCUCUGAUCAUGGUUCUAGGUGAGCUCUUAAGGCUGCUAAACUACCUUGGAGCACUGAUUCCUGGUUGGGAGGAACUUUAUGUGUUUCUUUCUGUUGGAAUCUGGCAGAAAUCAGACUCGUCUCCCAGAAGGAAAGUUUGGAUCUGAAUGUUUGGUCCUUAUUCAGACUAGUGAUGUGAAUGGAAAUCAUUGAUGAGGACAGUGAGUGAAGGUCAACAGACCCAGAAGAUGCUUCUUUCAACAACUGAUGGAGGCUGAUGGUGUUCAUAUGCAGGGUCACGUGGAGCCGUUAGGGUCGUAGAAUCUUUCAGGUUGAUCUUUAGCUCCACGGCUCUAAACCCAGCUGCAGAACUCUGAGAUAUGCAGACCAGAUUGGCUCUUCACCAAACUGGAGUUAAACCUGAAACUCUGACCCAAACUGAACUCUACUGGUCUAAUUCAGCUGCAGCUCUGUGAGGAUCUGCUCUUAAUGAAGCUCCACCCCACCCAGAUCCUCCUUAUUUUCCAUUUUUAACCUGAAGCUCCUAGCUCAUCCAGUUGAAAGUACACCCUGAUCCACCCUGAAGAUCUUCCUAUUCAACGUGAACUGAUCCAUUCUGAAACUCCUCCCAUCCAACACACAGCUCCUUCCCUG